This 510-nucleotide ribosomal RNA is filed under the name uncultured Scutellospora. RNAcentral's name for it is "SSU rRNA". It matches the Rfam family "Eukaryotic small subunit ribosomal RNA", at positions 569 to 1085 of the family's 1831-position model. Lineage: Eukaryota; Fungi; Glomeromycota; Glomeromycetes; Diversisporales; Gigasporaceae. The record is from RNAcentral.
AGCAGCCGCGGUAAUUCCAGCUCCAAUAGCGUAUAUUAAAGUUGUUGCAGUUAAAAAGCUCGUAGUUGAAUUUCGGGGUUCUACCGUUGGUCGGGCUUUGUCUGUACUGGCGUGUAGAAUUUCUACCUUCUGGGGAACCAUCAUGUUAUUAAUCUAGCGUGGUGGGAAACCAGGACCUCUACCUUGAAAAAAUUAGAGUGUUCAAAGCAGGCUUAUGUCUGAAUACAUUAGCAUGGAAUAAUAGAAUAGGACGGUGGUCCUGUUUUGUUGGUUUCUGAAUCACCGUAAUGAUUAAUAGGGAUAGUUGGGGGCAUUAGUAUUCAAUUGUCAGAGGUGAAAUUCUUGGAUUUAUUGAAGACUAACUUCUGCGAAAGCAUUUGCCAAGGAUGUUUUCAUUAAUCAAGAACGAAAGUUAGGGGACCGAAGACGAUCAGAUACCGUCGUAGUCUUAACCAUAAACUAUGCCGACUAGGGAUCGGACGAUGUUAAUUUUUCUUGACUCGUUCGGCG